RNAcentral lists this non-coding RNA (25 nucleotides) under Cricetulus griseus (Chinese hamster). The record is from RNAcentral. Lineage: Eukaryota; Metazoa; Chordata; Mammalia; Rodentia; Cricetidae.
CGACCUGGUAUUGCAGUACUUCCAG